RNAcentral lists this ribosomal RNA (490 nucleotides) under uncultured bacterium. Its description in RNAcentral is "partial 16S ribosomal RNA". It matches the Rfam family "Bacterial small subunit ribosomal RNA", at positions 29 to 505 of the family's 1533-position model. The record is from RNAcentral.
AGUGAACGCUGGCGGUAGGCCUAACACAUGCAAGUCGAACGGCAGCACAGUAAGAGCUUGCUCUUACGGGUGGCGAGUGGCGGACGGGUGAGGAAUACAUCGGAAUCUACUUUUUCGUGGGGGAUAACGUAGGGAAACUUACGCUAAUACCGCAUACGACCUACGGGUGAAAGCAGGGGAUCUUCGGACCUUGCGCGAUUGAAUGAGCCGAUGUCGGAUUAGCUAGUUGGCGGGGUAAAGGCCCACCAAGGCGACGAUCCGUAGCUGGUCUGAGAGGAUGAUCAGCCACGCUGGAACUGAGACACGGGCCAGACUCCUACGGGGGGCAGCAGUGGGGAAUAUUGGACAAUGGGCGCAAGGCUGAUCCAGCCAUACCGCGUGGGUGAAGAAGGCCUUCGGGUUGUAAAGCCCUUUUGUUGGGAAAGAAAAGCAGCAGGUUAAUACCCCGCUGUUCUGACGGUACCCAAAGAAUAAGCACCGGCUAACUUCG